GAAAUGCGAUAAGUAGUGUGAAUUGCAGAAUUCAGUGAAUCAUCGAAUCUUUGAACGCACAUUUCGCCCCUCGGUAUUCCGUGGGGCAUGCCUGUUCGAGCGUCAUCUACACCCUCAAGCUCUGCUUGGUGUUGGGCGUCUGUCCCGCCUCCUUCGCGCGCGGACUCGCCCCAAAUCCAUUGGCGGCGGCCCUUGCCUCCCUCUCGCGCAGCACAUUGCGCUUCUCGAGGCGCGGCGGACCGCGUCCAGCAAGCAACCGUCACACCGUCUUUGACCUCGGAUCAGGUAGGGAUACCCGCUGAACUUAAGC
RNAcentral lists this unclassified non-coding RNA (310 nucleotides) under plant metagenome. RNAcentral describes it as "partial contains 5.8S ribosomal RNA, internal transcribed spacer 2, and large subunit ribosomal RNA". The stretch from base 1 to 105 matches the Rfam family "5.8S ribosomal RNA", at positions 50 to 154 of the family's 154-position model. The record is from RNAcentral.